This 2877-nucleotide unclassified non-coding RNA is filed under the name Aphidius gifuensis. Its description in RNAcentral is "maternal embryonic leucine zipper kinase-like, transcript variant X4". The record is from RNAcentral. Lineage: Eukaryota; Metazoa; Arthropoda; Insecta; Hymenoptera; Braconidae.
AAAAAAAUGAUUGGUCAAUUGAAAAUUAUAAAUUUAUGAUUGGUUAAAAUGAAAUUGUUUACGUUAUAAAAAGUUUAUUCAAAAAUCAACAAAUCCAACAUGUCGGCUUGGACAAAAGUGUUGGUGUUGUUGUUGUUGUUGUAGGGAAAAAUAUAAAAAAAAAAAAUGUAAUUAUCUAUUUACAGAUAAAUGUUUUGUGUUUUAAAAUUAUCAAGUGUAUAUUGUAAUUAACUUCAACAAAAUUAUAUGUGAUAAUAAAAUAGAAUAAAAAUGUCAAGAUACGCAGCAUUGAAGGGAUUUUAUGAGUUGGAGAAGACAAUUGGUUGUGGUGGCUUUGCAAAGGUAAAAUUAUCAACACAUAUAUUGACUGGUGAAAAAGUUGCCAUUAAAAUAAUGGAAAAAGCAGCACUUGGUGAUGAUUUACCUCGUGUUAAAUUAGAAGUUGAAGCAUUAAAAACACUUCAACAUCAACAUAUAUGUCGUCUCUAUCAAAUCAUUGAAACUGAUACACAUUAUUUUAUGGUAAUGGAAUAUUGUUCUGGUGGUGAAUUAUUUGAUCACAUCGUUGAAAAAAAACGUUUAUCAGAAGCUGAAUCACGUAAAUUUUUUCGUCAAAUAGUAUCAGCAGUUGCAUAUUUACAUUCAUAUGGUUAUGCACAUCGUGAUUUAAAACCAGAAAAUGUGUUACUUGAUAAAAAUGAAAAUUUAAAAUUAAUUGAUUUUGGUUUAUGUGCAAAGCCAAAAGGUGGUAUGCAAUCACAUUUAUAUACAUCAUGUGGUUCACCAACAUAUGCAGCACCAGAAUUAAUACUUGGUAAAAAAUAUCUUGGUGCUGAAGUUGAUAUAUGGAGUAUGGGUGUAUUAUUAUAUGCAUUAUUAUGUGGUUAUUUACCAUUUGAUGAUUCAUCAAUUGAAAAUUUAUAUAAAAAAAUAUUAUCUGGUAAUUAUGAAGAACCAAAUUGGUUAACAAAUUCAAGUAAAAAAUUAAUACGUGCAAUGUUACAAACUGAUCCUAAAAAUCGUAUAACAAUUAAUGAAUUAUGUAAUCAUCCAUGGGUAUUAUCUGGUUAUAUGAAUUCAAUUAAAAUACAUAAAAAAUCAAAUUUUGAAAGAGAUGAUGAUGUAUUAAAAAUCAUGAAUAGUAUUUGUGGUGAUGAUGUAUUUGAUAUAUGGAGUAUAUUAAAUAAAAGUUCAAGAACUGAUUAUAGAACAGCAACAUAUCUUUUAUUACUUGAUAAAAAAUUAAAAGGACAAUUAUUAAAAUCAACUAAUUAUGCUAAAUUUAAUUUUAAUUAUUAUGACUGUAUGACAAAUAAUAUUAUGACUAAAAUUACCAUGUCACCACGAAGUAAAAUAUUUAGAAAAAAUCCAAUAUGUGAUGAAAAUAAUGAAUCAGUAUCAACAGUACCAGAACCAGAAAUAAUUGGUAAAAGUUUUGUUGAACCAACAAUACCUGGACGUAAACGUUUACGUAGUAAAGACAUUGACGAUGUAUCUUCACCUGUGCCAACAAAAAAAUUAAUUGAUUCAAAAAUGAUAUUAACACCAACAACACCAGCAAAGCAGUCAAUAAAGGAUACUCGUAGUUCAUCAACACCUGGAAGUGCUAAAAAAAUGAUGAUGGGCCUUGAACGUGGAUUGAAUAAAGUUAGAUGUGUUUUAACACCAAAACGUCGUUUUAAUGCAAGUGAUAUUGUUGGUGAUCAACCACAAAUAUUAUCAUCAAAAGGUUUAUGCAAUGUAUCAUCAACAUCAUCAAGUAAUCCAAAAAUUGUAUUAUUACAAUUACGUCGUGCAUUGCAAAAAAAAGGAAUAACAUGUUCACAAAAAAAUUAUACUCUACAGGGAGAAACAGAUUCAAUUGAUAUUGAAAAUUCUAAAAAUGGUGGUAAGCCAACAACAACAAGAAAAGUAUGUUCAUUUCAAUUGGAAGUAUGUCUUUUAGAAGGUAUUUCUGAUGAUACACCAAUUGUUGGUAUCAGAAGAAAACGUUUAAAAGGUGAUGCAUGGGUUUAUAAACGUGUUUGUGAAGAAGUAUUAGCACUUGCUGCUGAAUCAUUUGGAACAAAUCAAAAUGAACCAACAGCAUCAAAUGUACUUAUUUAAUUUUAACAAUCAAACAUUAACUUGUCUUCAUUUGCUAAGGAAAAUAUAACAAACACGCUUAUUCAUCUGUUUUAAGUUUUGUAUGAACUAGAGUGCUGAAAAAUUAUUAAAAGUACAAGAAAAAAAAAAAUAAAGAAAAAAAGAUAUAUAGGAUAUUUAUUGGUCGAUAAAUUGGUGUGUAUAUUUUUAUAUCAAUAUUUAUGGCAUUUUGAAGGGUAGACACAAAGAAAAUUUUCGAAUUGAGCUGUAACAUCGUAAAAUUGAACAAGACAGUUGAGUUUAAGUAUGUUGAAAUUUUAUUAUUUUUGUCUUUAAAAAUUUUUAUAUACAUUUUUUUUUUUUUUUUGGAUUAAUAUAGCCAGAUAUAAAGUGUAUCGCGGCUCGUUUGAACGAGGUUACUCGUCAGUUCACUAAAGUGGUAAUGUGAAAUAGACAAAGUGAAGUUAUAAAAUCACCACAAAUCGAUCAGUGCUGUUGUGAAUCAGUUUUAUUUUUAUGGUAUUUUGUUGGGUAGUUUAGAUACUUACCUUUUAUUCUUCAACUGCCGAUCGCGUGUGCUCUGUAUUAUUUCUCAACGAUGCGCGGCUUACAUGGAAUGUUCUUUCAAUACUUUAAGUAACAAAAAAUAAAUAAAAUAAUGUUAUUUUAUAUUUUUUCGAUUUUUACUCUUCAAACAAUGCUCAAACAAGAUAUUUACAAGACAAAGAACAUUUUUAUCUAUUUCAUGGUCAUUUUUUAAGUUUUUAUUUAAAUCAUCUAUAUAUUUUUCUA